CCAUGCCUAACAAACUCCUUAUGGAGAAUUAAUUCUUUGAUGAAAGCUUAGAGACCCCGCAUGAAAAUUCUAGCACCAAGAGUUGUGUCGCUUCACACCUUAUUAAAAGGGGAUGCUACAUGGGAUGUGGUGUGCUAUUUUUCAUGGGUCUUUGGGCAUGGAGUCUAGUGAGAAGAAGACAGAAAAUUCUGAAAAAAAUGACAAG
RNAcentral lists this long non-coding RNA (205 nucleotides) under Elaeis guineensis (African oil palm). RNAcentral describes it as "long non-coding RNA (EGUI_LNC066284)". Lineage: Eukaryota; Viridiplantae; Streptophyta; Magnoliopsida; Arecales; Arecaceae. The record is from RNAcentral.